Camelus dromedarius (Arabian camel) is the source of this 9091-nucleotide long non-coding RNA. RefSeq lists it as uncharacterized. The record is from RefSeq and is a predicted model, not a curated record. Lineage: Eukaryota; Metazoa; Chordata; Mammalia; Artiodactyla; Camelidae. The transcript has 2 exons.
CCUAGUAAAGGCCUUGAGCUCAGACCGGCUGCGCGCUGGGAGGAGGGUGGACGGAAGGAAGCUGCUUUAGUGACUAGGCCUACUUGGUACCAAGCUCUCGGCUGGGAAGGACCUUGAAGACCCUGCGGUUCAACUUCCAAUUUGCAGAUGUGGAAACUGAAGCCCAGAGAGGGUAUGCAACUUGUCCAAGGUUACUCAGCCGUUUAGUGGCCUGGUUGGGACUGGACUCAAGCGCUCCUGACUGCGCUUGGCCUUACAGGCAACUCCUCCAACGAGGUGAAUGCUAAUACAGUCCCUUUAGACCUGUCUAUAGUUUAAGGCCUGUGCUGUUAAAAGGUCUAGCUCAUGUAGGGUGGGCAUUUGGAUUCCUCUUAGACCCCCACCCGCAACUAUCAGGUGUUUGGAGUAAAUGUUUCAUCCUGCGAAGGUGCCCCUUUUAUAAAGGCACAACUGUAAACUGGAAAGAAUGUGUGUACAGGCUUAAAGGACUGUGAUUCUUAGCCCUUUUUAGUUAUAAGCCCUGAAAGAAAGUAAUGAAAGCCUUUCUUUAGCAAAAUACACAUAAAGAAAAUGUGUGUACAAUUUCUUGAUUUCUCCUAACAUUGGUACGUGGGCUCCAGGUGAAGAAUUUCCUGAUUUAUUACAUUUUCCACCGUACUGACCUAGGGCUAAUUGGGGUAGCUAACUUAUAGAGCUCUUUACGAAAUAGCUUGAGCUUCUGGAAUAAUUGCCCUGCUUUAGGCAUACUGGGAAAACCUAACAGCAACUCAGUCCUCCGCUGAGAAAUUCCAACCAAGAAUUAGGAAAGGUUGACCAGCUACCUUUAAGCCUCAAAAAAGGAAGAAGAGGUCUUUUCCUGCCAGAAAUAGCUGCAGUUCUGAAGCUGGAAGUGUGGGGACACCAUUCCUUACCCAUUCUGUGACUAUGUUGAUUUCCUGUGGCUUAGCAGUCCUCCUAACCUUAGCCUUUUGCUUCAUCUACGAGCUGAGAAAGAAUUGCCCUCUGUGUGUAACUUUAUAAGGAAUCAAUGAAAGUUAAAUGAGAUGACAUCCAUGAAAAUCUUUGAAUUGUCUUUAUGAGAAUUAUCCAUAACACGGAUGAUCCACAGUUCUGUCUCACUCCAGGCCAACUUUCUCCUGUCUUAUCAGUUUGCUGAGCCACCUCCUGCUCGACAUCCAUCCUGAUACUACCAGAGGGCAAAUGGAUUUUUAAAGUAGCUGGAAUAAAAUGCUGGGAAGAUAAAUGUUUUGCAGCGAAGUUCCAAUCAUAAAUAUAAGAUCCUUACCACGAUCCAACUGAAAUAUUGUUUUAGUUGAGCUAAGGUUAUUGAUGGUGCUGCCUAGUCCUUAGCACUGGAUACCAUCCUGCCUUCAGCAGAUGCUACUGAGGCACUAUAAUGUGAGUGUUUAGCACUCAGACUCCAGAAACUGACUACCUGAUUUCAUUUCCCAGCUCUCCCACCUCUUACCUUGUGUAAUUUAUGUUGCUUAUAUGGAAAAUGGGGCUAAUAAUUAUACCUGCCUCAUAGGGCUUUUGGGUGAUUUUAGUGAGUUGAUAAACGUUAAGUGCUAGGAACACUGCCUGGCAUACUGUAUAUGUUGCGUAUAUAUUGGCUGUUAUCCAUUUAGCAUGUAUUUUGUACUAAGCAAGUUGUUCUUGGUCCUUGGCCUAUUUAGGGAAGAAAGCCUUUAAUCAGUUAAUCUCACAAACAGAUGUAAAGAUGUAAAGUUGACAGAUGGGAAAGAAUGGCCCAGCCACGGGGCUCAGGGAAAGCUUACCUGAGAAAGGGAAGAGAGUUACUCAGCUGGAGAAAGGAAGAACAGCAUAUGCAAAGGCUUAGUGAUGAGAGAGGGAGCUUGGGGAUUAUAAGGAACUGCAAGAAAGCCAGUACCCCCAAAACACAGAACAAGGGAUUGAGAAACAGCUAGAGUGUUGAAUAAGGGAAAACCCUUGCAUGCCAUGCAAAUGCUUUUGUCUAUAUCCUAAGACCAAAGAGCAGAUAUUCAGAAGUUUUAAAAAGGCUGGUUGUAACAUGGAGAUUACACAGGAAAGAAUGAAGAGUCAAUGCGAAGAGACCAGUUUGGAGGCCAUUGCAGUAAUCCAGACAUAAGAUGAUACUUGUAGGAAGAAGGAUAGGAGUAAUAGUGGAAAUAGAAACAAGUGUAAAAGUUAAAGAACUUGGUAAUUGAUUGGAAGAAGAGGGAGGUGUCGCCAGUGUCUAGAUCUCUUGGCUUCACUAUGUUGGUGGUGCCAUUUGCCAUGUUUCCCAAGUAGGAGGAAUUGGAGACCACGUGGUUUGGUAGAAUGUGGAGAGGUACAGAGGGGGUUCAGGUUUUAUAUUUUGAGCUGUGUAUGGAGUACAUGGGUUUUAACAUGCUAUUCUCUGUAACUUUUCAUAUGUCAUGAGUAUUCAUGUCCAGUGAGCAAAUUCUGAAAUUAAAGAGAGAAACUGGGUUUCAGUCUUAAGCUGUGACUUCCUGCUGUAUGAUCCUGAACAAGUUAUAUUUAACCUUUUGCAUCUGUGCCACAUCAUUGGUUGGUCUGAGCACACACAGGAGGGAGCCUUUCUCCUGUGAAGUGCCAAUACAAGUGUCUUGUGCCAGGAGAUGCUCACCAAUGUCUGUUAAACAAGUGAAUUCGUGAAUGGAUGAGAUCAGCUAGCAUUGCCCACUCAGUUCCCCCACUAACCCACAAUGCGUGUAUGUGAGGAGACUGGCUGCCAGGGGAGUAAAGUUUCCUCCUGAGCAAAGCUGGCGGACAUGAGAGGGCAGAUGCAACAUGUCCUUAUGGUUGGUGAGAAGUGACUGUCUAGGUUUGUUAAAGAUGCUUUGUAACUUACUUUGCCAUCUUUUCCAGUAUUAUCCACAUGAAUCCCCAUGUGUACCAUUGGUCCAGUCAAGCCAACCGCAUCACUGGAUACUGCAGAAAUACUCAUCACUACUCAAAUGCCUAGAAUUCUCUCCUUGUCCCUCUCAGUCUUCAAGUCAUGCACAAAUUUGUUACUUCUUUCAUUCUUGUUAAUUUGUUAAUUCAGCUACGUGAAUUUAUUAGAUGUGCCCCACCACCCACCAGGUUAUUUCAGGUAUAACAUGGGAAUGUGAUAAAGUCCUUAAGAAAGGUGCAAAGCAAAUAUGGAGCUAAAUUUCAAAUGGGGAAGAGAGAUCUUUUUUCCUGGUUUAGUUAUGAGAACACUUAGUAGACAAGGGGGCUUUGAGCUGAACCUUGAAGGACUGGAGAACUUUGUGAAUACAGAGAUUGCAAUGAAACCUUCUCCAGCCAAGGUUGUACACAUUUAUAUCUUCACUUCACUAACAGUGUGAUCUUGGGAAUGCUUAUUUUCUGCCCCUCGUCUGUAAAAUGGGGAUAAGUGUUUUAACCAGGGUUGGCUUAAGGGUGUGAGACCUGUACAGUCACACAGGCACUUAGAAAUGCUGGCCCCUCACUUGGUUUAAUGCUCUGCUGUCACCAUAUUGAAAUUCUUAAUAAUUUUUGAACAAGGGGCCUUGCAAAUUGUGUCCUGAUCUUAUCUUGGAGGGUUAUUGCAAAGUCCUAAGAUGUUAAUACAUGGGAAUUUCUUAGAACAGUGAGGGUCUGAAAUAUGAUGGUUCAGUAAGUGCUACCUGUUGGUAUUAUUCUCUGCACCAACUCAGCUCCUAUAUUUGAUCUUGUCAGUGUAUUUUAUUAUAACAUUAUAGCUCAUAGUGUACCUCACAGCUUAUCUAGCACUUAAACGCCUGAAAGAUAUUUUUGAAUGCCUGUUUGUAAAGGUACUGGAUGGGUCACAAAGAUGAAUAGGACAGUACUUCCUAUCCUAGUUGAUGGAAUAAAGCAUGUGUUUUAAGCAUUCUGAUUAGUAAUAAAUAUGUCUUGUGCAGAGUAUAGAAAUUUUUAAAAGUAAAUUUCUGGGCUCCACCUUCAGAGACUCUUAUUAGUAGCUCUAGUGUAGGACUUAAGAAUCAGUUCCCAAGGUAAUUUUAAUGAAUUGUCAAGUUUUGAACCACUGACAUUAACUUCAGGGAGGCCAUGUGGAAUAGAGGCAAAAAGCUUGCCAUUGGUGUUGGUCAGACUGGGAUUCAAGUUCUGCCAUCUACCAGUUCUGUUACUUUGCCUAAGUUAGUUAGUCUCUCAGUUUUCUCAUUUGUAAAGAUUAAAACCAUACCUUAAAGAUUAAAUUUUAAAAUGCUUAAAAAAGCUGAGCACAUAGUGGACACUUAAUUUCGAGUCUUUUCUUCUAGAGGGGGAGAUUGUAUCCCAGGAAGGGGCCGUCACAGAGGGCUUCCUGGAGGAGAGGAUAAUCCACCCCAUACAAGCAGUAUGGUUUAGAUGGGAGAAAGGCUUCUGAUUACACGUUCUAGCUACAGUCAAGAUAUUAGGGGAAUAUUAGAGGAAUGCUAAGUCACAAAAUAAUUGAUGGGAUUUAGUGGCUGAUUAGAUACAGAGGAGAGGGAAGAUUGAAAGGUGAGUCUUAGGUCUUCAGCUUGAGUAUUUUUGAGAGUGAGUCAUUUUAAAAACAAGAUCAAAUAUAGGAGCUGAGUUGGUGCAGGAAGGUAGGGUAGAGGUUGGGGGAGGGGUCAUGUAUCCAGUUUUAGAAACAUUUAGUUUUUAAGGUCAUAAGAGGACAUCCAAGGGGAACUGCACAUUCUUGACUGGGAUUUGGGAGAAGGGCUGAUGCUCAGAAAAUAAGAAGUUAGAUGUCAAUAGACAGUCAUUGAGCUCCCACAAGUAAAUUAUGUCUUUAAGGACAUUAUCUAUAAAGAGAGAAAAGAAAAAGAUUUAGGAGUGGAAAUGGGGUUACAAACUAGUAGGCAAUGGGGGAGAGUAUAGCUCUAGCAUGUGCAGGGUGUGGGGUUCAAUCCCCAGUACCUCUAUUAAAAAUACAUAAAUAAACCUAAUUACCCUCCCACCCCCCUCAGAGGAAAAAAAAAACAAACAAACUAGUAGGCAAUAAGAGUGAGGGAGAAGAGAAAGGAAGCAGCAGUAGAGAAGGAACAGCAGAGGUAGGGAAAGAAGUGGGCAAGUGGACAGUUAAUAUUGUGAUAGUCAGAGUAACAUUCCCCAGAAGUUGUCCACAUGCUAAUCCCUGGAACCUGAAAAUGUGUUCCUUUACCUGGCAAAAGAGACUUUGCAGCUAUGAUUAAAUUAAGGAUUUUGAGAUGGGGAGAUUAUCCUGGAUGAUCUGUAAUAUAAUGACAAGGGUCCUCAUAAGAGGAAGAGUGGAGGAUCAGAGUCAGAGAAGGCGAUGUGAUGACAGAAGUAAAGGCCUGAGUGAUGUGGGGCUGUGAGCCAGGGGAUGUCAGCAGCCUCAGGAAGCUGGAAGCAGCAAAGAACAGAUUCUCCCCUAGAGCUGCCAGAGGGAACACAGUGCUGCUGACCCAUUUUCAACUUCUUUCAGAACUGUAAGAAAAUUUGUGUUCCUCUAAGCCUAGGUUGUAGUAGUUUGUUACAGCAAUGAUAGGAAACUAAUGCAGGAGUUAACAGCUAAAAAUAGCCUAAAUCUAACAAUGAUGGAUUCUUUAAAUAAGUUAUAGCAUGUCGGUAUGAUGGACUAUUACAAUCGUAGCUAGCCAUUAAAAAUUAUGCUAUAGGAGAUCAUCUAAACAUGUGGAAAAUGUUCAUAAUAGAUUGCCAAGUCCAGAGAGCAAGGUAAAAUAUUGUAGGUAUUUAUAUUAAAAUUUCAUCAAGUGGUACAAGAUUCAUGCAUUUUAUGCACUUGACUAGAUGUGGUAUACCUCAGUUUAAAAGUUUUGCAGAUUCAUAUAGAUGUCCUGUUUGUUCAAAGAAGAGAAUCUUGUGUUAAAUCUAUGUAUCCAUGAAUAGGAAAGAGACUAGGAAUGUUAAUAAACCAAAUGUUAAUAAUGGCUGUCUCUGGAUGGUAGGGUUACAGAUGAUUUUUAUGUUCAUUUUUUAUUCUUCUCUGUCUAUUCCAAUUUUUCUUCAAUGAACAGGCAUUACUUUUUUGAUCAGAAAACAUUUUAAAAAUUAAUUUUUUAAAGAUCAAGAAAAAGGGGUAGGGAGAAAAUUUGAAGGAUUUAAAAGCUUAAGGGUGAGGGCCCAGCGGCAUGUGGCACAGCCAAGCAUCUAUGAACAAUUUUCUGAAAAUAGAUUUUUUUUUUUUAAAUGUGUCUCCUACCCCAACCCCCAAAGCAGAAAGAAACUCAAUACUGGGGAUGUAAAGAGAAGGAAGAAGAAGAAAAGCUAGACUGUAGAGAUGAAAGCUUCCUGACUCCUGAGUUGGGAGGGUCCGUGAGAAAUGAGGGGACUAGAGCGGAUUAUUCAGUCUCCCCUGCCCCCACCUGUGUUUGCCCAAGAGCCUGGAGACAGAUCCGACACCCUCAGCCGCUUUCUCCUUUUGUUUAUUCAAUUCUUUAUAUCCUUCCUUUGUUCUUUUUCUAAUUAUCAAGGUAAUAAUGCCUCUCACUGGAGAAAUUGUGAAAAGCAUGAAGAGUUAAGCAGAAAUCACCUGUAAUCCCAAAUUAUUGAAAAAUUGGCAUACUUCUCAACCUAGUUCAAAUUUAAAUGAAAACUAAAGUAUUACUGUGUAACAUUUUGGCACCCCCACCUUAAAAAAAACAUACUUUUAAGAAUUUUAAAUUGGUUCAACUCUUUGUCAGGUGGCAUUAAAAAUUAGUAUGAACUAAACAUAUCUGGACUGACUCCAAAUGGGUUUUCAUACUGGUAGUAUAAUGGAGAAGUAAGUGAAACCUUUUAACUUUGACUCAAGCUUUAAAAAAAAAAAAAAAAAAGUACCAAUAGAAUAAGCUAAAACUUGAAAAUCAUUGAAGUAUGCCUGGUGGCUCACAAACCCGGAGGCUCACUGAAGCCUCUUCCUGGCCCGGUGUUACAAAGGUAUCCUGUAUUCUGGGCCAGCUGUCUUCUAAUCUUUCUGUUCUUUUUUUCCUUUAUUUGAGUACAUGCUCAAUUUUGAUGAUCUCCUUUGUUUUGGAGAACACCCAGCUCUUUUCCUCUUAUGUGUCUCCUUUUAUCUUCAUGAUAGUUUCUGACACCAGAUGUGUGGGGGUUUUUCCCCUCCAAGCAGUUCUUUGACACAGGGGGUCAAUUUAAUUCUGACACUAUUUACCUAGCGAUAGAGUCAGAGCCCACAGGUUAAGGGCUCAGUCCCAUGAGACUGCCCCCUACUUUAGAUGCCAGUUGUCAGUAGUAGGCCCCCAGGUUACCCACAGCUUUUGUCCAUCUUGGUUAUGAAUCUAAGAUUUCCAUGGCCCCCUCCUUGGGAUCUGUCAGUUUUCUAGAGUGGCUCACAGGACUCAGGGAAACACUUUAUAUUUACCAGCUUAUUAAAGGAUAUGAUUAAGGAUACAGAUGAAUAGCCAGAUGAAGAGAUACGUACAUAGGAUGAAGUCUGAGAAGGUCCUGAGCACAGGAUCUGCUGUCCCUGUGGAGUUGGGGUGGGAGUUGGAAGCCCCUGAAACCGCUGUUGGGAUUUUUAUGGGGGCUUUCUCAUGUAGGCAUGAUCAGUUUACUCCAUUUCCAGCCCCUCUCCCCUCUUUAGAGAACUUGGGGCUGGUAGACAGGGCUUAAAAUUCCAUACUCCUAACUAUGGUUUGGUCUUUCUGGUGACCAGCUGCCAUCCAGGAACCAUCCAGGUGCCCACGCAGAGUCACCUCGUUGGAACAUAAGGUGCUCCUAGUAUUCUUAUCACUUGAAAUUUAUAAGGGUUUUAGGAGCCCUAAAGUCAGGGAGUCAGGGCGGGGGUGGAAGACCAAAUACUAGAACAGGAGAGGCUCCUGGUGCUCUUAUCACUUAGGAUGUGACAAAGGUUUUAGGAACUACGUGCCAGGCACUGGGGGCAGAGGUUAAUAUAUAUGUUUUCUAUUAUCUCAUGUUUGUACGUUUUGUAUGCACACAAAUAUCUUUUGUCCCCUAUUAGUUUGUAAUUCAAGGCUUCUCAGCCUUGGUACUGUUGAUAUUUUGGACCAAAUAAUUCUUUGUUGCUAGGGGGCUGUCCUGUGCAUUGUAGAAUUUUUUAGCGGUAUCCCUGGCUUCUACCUACUUGGUACCAGUAACACACCCCUCUCAAACCCUGACAGUCAGAAACCUGACAAGGUCUCCAGACCUUGCUAUGUUCCCUGGUGGCAAAAAUAGCUUCCCCACCCCCUGCAGUUGAGAACCACUGCUCCUUGAGGUCAGCUGCCGUGUCAUAAAUCCCUGUAUUCCACACGGUGAGUUUAUUGCCCAAAGAGUAUCACUGCCUUAUGAAAAUAGUAACUAAUUUUUAUAAAGCCCUUCCUCUGUACUGUUCUAAGCUCCACACACAUAUUAACUCAUUUAAUCUUCACAACAACCCUAUGAGAUAGGUACUAUUAUUAUGCCCCUUUUACAAUCAAGAAGCUAAGACUCGAAGAGAUUAGUUUAGUUAUUCAUGGUCACCCAGCUGGGAAGUGACACCUGGGAUUUGAACUCCAACCCAGGCAGUCCAGCUGCAGAUUCUGAGCUCUCAACCAUUUUGCUAUCUACUGCUUUUAAAUACAAAGAAAGAAAAAACUUUUUUUUUAAGCCAGGCAUUGUCCAUCUGCCUACAGAAUUUGCAUAGGCAAACACGUAAAAAUAAAGUUUCCUGUUCUGCCUUUUUCACAAAACAUGAUAUAGCAAAGCAUUUUGCCGUAUUCCUAAAAUCUUCUACAUUGUUUAAGUAUAAUUUACUGGCAAUGAAGUGCACCCAUUUUAAGGGUACAGUUUGAUAAGUUUUGACGAAUGUAUAAGUCCGUGCUGCCACCAACACAAGAUAUAGAACAUUCUCAUCACCUUUGUUCCUUUCUAUAGUGGCAGCCGAAGCUGGCUUGUACCCUAGUACCUGCUCAGGAGCACCAGCUUUGUGUACAUCUCUCGAAUUUACAUUUAGUGACAUCACAUUGGUAGCUCAAAAUUAGCCAUUGUGGGAGUACUUCAUUGAAAUUGGGAAAGUGCCACAGAUCAAGACUUCUUUAAAAAAAAAUUGUUUUAGAACCAGUUAACCAGUACUACAGCUUGUGCCCCUUUGCAGUCACCCAUCCAUCUUACAGCCAGUCUGCUUUCUGACAUUUCCUUUUGCAUUUCUAAGAAUUCUGUAAAUAAAAUCAUGCACUAUAUACUC